AUGACAUCAUCUGCGGGCGAUGCUAAAAGUUCUAUUCAAAGCUGGGUUGAGUUCUUGGUUAAUUAUGUGAAGAUGAUUAAUGGAGACUACAAAAGGAUGAUCUCAAGAAAUCGUUGCAGGCAUAUUUCUGCAAUCUGUAACUCCUUUGCUAAACAUAGCAAUUGUGUAGCUCAUGAUCUUGCUUCCCUCGCUAGAGUGUCAGAUAUUUUUGAAACCUGGGUGGGCAGUAUGGUGUGUAUGCAAAUGAUUUUGUUAAGUAAUUUAGUAUUUAUAUAUAAGCAUAGGUUUUGUCGAAAAAAGUAUAGGCAGGAACUUACAACCAUUAACGUACCUUAUCUGUUGGUUAAGUACUCAAAGGAGUAUGUCGAGAUUUAG
This 375-nucleotide ribosomal RNA is filed under the name Triticum aestivum (bread wheat). RNAcentral describes it as "partial small subunit ribosomal RNA". The record is from RNAcentral. Lineage: Eukaryota; Viridiplantae; Streptophyta; Magnoliopsida; Poales; Poaceae.